This 253-nucleotide ribosomal RNA is filed under the name uncultured bacterium. RNAcentral's name for it is "partial 16S ribosomal RNA". It matches the Rfam family "Bacterial small subunit ribosomal RNA", at positions 524 to 776 of the family's 1533-position model. The record is from RNAcentral.
UACGAAGGGUGCAAGCGUUGCUCGGAAUUACUGGGCGUAAAGCGACCGCAGGCGGUCUGAUAGGUCGGAUGUGAAAGCCCGGGGCUCAACCCCGGAACUGCAUUCGAAACCCUUAGACUUGAGUAUGGGAGAGGAGGGCGGAAUUCCUGGUGUAGAGGUGAAAUUCGUAGAUAUCAGGAGGAACGCUCGCGGCGAAGGCGGCUCUCUGGCCCAAUACUGACGCUCAUGGUCGAAAGCAUGGGUAGCGAACGGG